Molecule: ribosomal RNA, 218 nt
Filed under: Clostridioides difficile
Lineage: Bacteria; Bacillati; Bacillota; Clostridia; Peptostreptococcales; Peptostreptococcaceae
Description: partial 23S ribosomal RNA
Rfam family: Bacterial large subunit ribosomal RNA
Source: RNAcentral
CCCUGGGUUAGUCGGGACCUAAGCUGAGGCCGAAAGGCGUAGGUGAUGGACAACAGGUUGAUAUUCCUGUACUACCGAUAACCGUUUGAGAGAAGGGAUGACACAGUAGGAUAAGCUAAGCACACUGCUGGUUAUGUGUGCCCAAGCAUUGAGGCAGUCAAAGUAGGCAAAUCCGCUUUGAUAAUGCUGGGAUGUGAUGGGGAGCGAAAUUUAGUAGC